AUGGCAUUGGGAGAUCUCAUGGCGUCCAGGCUCGUGCACUCGUCCUCAUCGUCGUCCUCGUCCUCGCUGCCCACUCCCUCCUUGGCGGCGGUGAACCACCAGACGGACCGCGUGGAUGGUGAGCUCCCUGUCGCGAACGGGCCGGAGCUUCGGAGGGAGGACGCCGGCGAGGAGGAUGAGGAGGGGAAGGCCGUUGCGCUCGUGCCGUGCCUGCCGCAGGUGGUUGUGCUGUGCGAGCAGCGGCACGAGGGGUUCGAUGAGGCCGUCGCUGCCGCGGCGGGGCCAUCGACCAGCGGCCUCGUCUCCAAGUGGCGCCCCAAGGACAGGAUGAAGACUGGAUGUGUUGCACUUGUAUUAUGUUUAAACAUUAGUGUUGAUCCGCCGGAUGUAAUUAAAAUUUCCCCUUGUGCAAGAAUGGAGUGUUGGAUAGAUCCAUUUUCUAUGCCACCUCCCAAAGCCCUUGAAACUAUUGGAAAAACAUUACACUCACAGUAUGAGCGGUGGCAGCCUAAGGCUCGUUACAAGCUUCAGCUGGAUCCAACAGUCGAAGAAGUCAAGAAGCUUUGUAAUACUUGCCGCAAAUAUGCCAGAUCAGAGAGAGUUCUUUUUCAUUACAAUGGUCAUGGUGUACCAAAGCCUACAGCUAAUGGAGAGAUUUGGGUGUUUAACAAGAGUUAUACACAAUAUAUCCCUCUUCCUAUUACUGAUCUCGAUUCAUGGCUGAAAACACCAUCGAUUUAUGUUUUUGACUGCUCAGCAGCUGGAAUGAUUGUGAAAGCUUUUCUAGAGCGCCUAGACUGGAGUUCAAGCUCUUCUGCGUCCUCAGUGAAGGAUUGCAUUCUCCUUGCUGCCUGUGAGGCACAUCAAACUCUUCCUCAGAGUGCAGAAUAUCCCGCUGAUGUGUUUACAGCUUGCCUGACCACUCCCAUAAAAAUGGCAUUGCACUGGUUUUGUAAACGAUCAUUACUCAGUGGUGCUCUGGAUCACUCUCUUAUUGACCAAAUUCCUGGAAGGCAAAAUGACCGUAAAACACUUCUGGGGGAGUUGAACUGGAUUUUCACUGCUAUUACAGAUACUAUUGCAUGGAAUGUUCUUCCUCAUGAAUUAUUCCAAAGGCUUUUCAGGCAGGAUCUUUUGGUCGCCAGUCUCUUUCGCAACUUCUUACUUGCUGAGAGAAUCAUGCGAUCUGCAAACUGUUCUCCAAUUACAUACCCACUAUUGCCACCCACACAUCAACACCAUAUGUGGGAUGCAUGGGACAUGGCUGCGGAGAUCUGCCUUUCCAAGCUUCCUCAUUUGAUUGCUGAUCCUAAUGCAGAGUUUCAGCCGAGCCCAUUUUUCACGGAGCAAUUGACAGCAUUUGAAGUUUGGCUUGAUCAUGGCUCUGAGGAUAAGAAACCACCUGAACAGUUACCCAUUGUUCUUCAGGUCCUGCUUAGCCAAUCACACAGAUUUAGAGCACUUGUUCUGCUUGGAAGAUUUCUUGAUAUGGGGCCAUGGGCAGUUGAUUUGGCCUUGUCUGUUGGUAUCUUCCCUUACGUGCUCAAACUGCUCCAAACAAGUGCGAUGGAGUUGCGUCAAAUUCUUGUGUUCAUAUGGACAAAAAUUCUCUCUCUUGAUAAGUCAUGCCAGGUUGAUUUGGUGAAAGAUGGAGGGCAUGCAUAUUUUAUCAGGUUUCUUGAUAGUUUGGAUGCUUACCCGGAGCAGCGUGCAAUGGCUGCUUUCGUUUUAGCAGUUAUUGUGGAUGGGCAUAGGAGGGGUCAAGAGGCUUGCAUGAGUGCAGGUCUUAUAGAUGUUUGCCUGAGACAUCUGCAACCUGAGAAUCCUCAUGAUGCACAGACAGAGCCUUUGCUUUUGCAAUGGCUUUGUUUAUGCCUUGGCAAACUCUGGGAAGAUUUCCCUGAGGCUCAGUUACUUGGUCUACAAUCAAAUGCACCCGAAAUUGUUACAUGUUUAUUGUCUGAGCCUCAACCUGAGGUCAGAGCCUCUGCUGUUUUUGCACUUGGAAAUCUGUUGGACAUUGGAUCUCCAUCAGUGAAUGGAGGUGAUGACGACUCUGAUGAUGAUGAAAAGGUGAGAGCUGAAAUAAAUGUUGUUCGAAGCCUUCUGCAAGUCACUUCAGAUGGUAGCCCUCUUGUUAGAGCUGAGGUUUCUGUAGCUCUUACUCGCUUUGCGCUGGGCCACAACAAACAUCUCAAAUCUGUUGCUGCGGAGUACUGGAGACCUCAAACCAAUUCACUGCUGAAGUCACUACCAUCAUUGGCUAAUAUUAAUAACCCAAGCAAUGUUUACAGUCCCAGUAACUUUCUGCAAAGCAGCAGUGGCCUUUCUUCGCAUAUUGGUCCUGUGUUAAGGGUUGGUAGUGAUACCAGUGCCACAGGUCGUGAUGGAAGAAUUUCUACAAGCAGCCCGAUUGCGACAAAUAGCAUCAUGCAUGGGUCUCCCCAGUCAGAUGAUUCUUCUCAGCACUCUGAUUCAGGCAUAUUGCUUAGAGAGAAUGCAAGUAACGGUGGUCUCAGCUACACCAGGUCAAGGCCUAUUAUUGACAGUGGAAUUUAUUCCCUAUUUAUUUCGACGAUGUGCUCUGUUGCUAAAGAUCCUUACCCUAGAAUUGCAAAUAUUGGCCGGAGAGCACUGUCCCUUGUAGGGGUCGAGCAAGUGGUCAUGAGAAAUACUAGAUUUGGCAGUGGGGGUGCAGGAGAGACAUCUGCUCCUUCAUCAAACAUAGGAAUGGCACGUUCUUCUUCCUGGUUCGACAUGAAUUCUGGAAUCUCAAUGGCAUUUAGGACUCCUCCUGUUAGUCCACCUCAGCAUGAUUACCUUACAGGGUUGCGCCGCGUGUGUUCUAUGGAGUUCAGACCACAUCUCUUGAAUUCACCUGAUGGCUUAGCUGAUCCGCUCUUAAGCUCUGCUGCAGCCCCCAGUACCAGUGAGCUUAAUAUACUUCCUCAAUCAACAAUAUACAACUGGAGUUGUGGCCACUUCUCUAGGCCACUUCUAACCGGUUCUGAUGAUAAUGGGGAAGUAAGUGCUAGAAGAGAAGAGAGAGAACGAACUGCACUGGAUUGCAUCGCUAAGUGCCAGCGUUCCUCAGCAUGCAAGAUGACUAGCCAAAUUGCUAGCUGGGAUACAAAGUUUGAGUUGGGUACAAAAUCAGCAUUGCUGUUACCUUUUUCUCCUAUCGUCGUUGCAGCUGAUGAAAACGAGCAAAUAAGAGUGUGGAAUUAUGACGAUGCUCUACCAGUGAAUACUUUUGAAAACCACAAGUUAUCUGACAGAGGACUAUCCAAACUUCUACUUAUCAAUGAGCUUGAUGAAAGCUUGCUUUUAGUUGGCUCAAGUGAUGGAAAUGUCCGUAUAUGGAGAAACUAUACUCAAAAGGGAGGACAGAAACUUGUAACUGCCUUCUCAUCAGUUCAGGGCCAUCGAGCUGCAGGCCGCAGCGUUGUGAUCGACUGGCAACAGCAAUCUGGUUAUCUGUAUGCAUCUGGUGACAUGUCUUCCAUCCUCGUAUGGGAUCUUGACAAGGAGCAACUUCUCAACACCAUUCCAUCAUCUGCUGAUAGUGGCAUUUCAGCUCUGUCUGCAUCUCAGGUUAGACCUGGUCAAUUUGCUGCCGGUUUUAUUGAUGCAUCCGUAAGGAUAUUUGAUGUUCGUACCCCUGACAGGCUAGUUUACAUGGCAAGACCACAUGCCCCAAGAACUGAAAAGGUCGUCGGUAUAGGAUUUCAGCCUGGAUUUGAUCCAUACAAGAUUGUAAGCGCAUCUCAAGCUGGAGACAUUCAGUUUCUUGAUGUUAGAAGGGCUGCUGAACCCUACCUCACUAUUGAAGCUCACAGGGGUUCGUUAACAGCAUUGGCUGUUCACCGGCAUGCUCCAGUCAUUGCAAGUGGCUCAGCUAAGCAGAUGAUUAAAGUGUUCAGUCUUGAAGGAGAACAGCUAACAAUCAUUCGCUACCAGCCAUCUUUUAUGGGCCAAAGGAUAGGAAGUGUAAACUGCCUUUCGUUCCAUCCGUACAAAUCUCUCCUGGCUGCUGGAGCUGGUGAUAAUGCUCUGGUCUCUAUCUAUGCUGAGGACAAUUAUCAAGUAAGAUGA
This 4095-nucleotide ribosomal RNA is filed under the name Triticum aestivum (bread wheat). RNAcentral describes it as "partial small subunit ribosomal RNA". Lineage: Eukaryota; Viridiplantae; Streptophyta; Magnoliopsida; Poales; Poaceae. The record is from RNAcentral.